CAGUCGAGCGGUAACACAGAGGAGCUUGCUCCUUGGGUGACGAGCGGCGGACGGGUGAGUAAAGUCUGGGGAUCUGCCUGAUGGAGGGGGAUAACUACUGGAAACGGUAGCUAAUACCGCAUGACGUCUUCGGACCAAAGUGGGGGACCUUCGGGCCUCACGCCAUGAGAUGAACCCAGAUGGGAUUAGCUGGUAGGUGAGGUAACGGCUCACCUAGGCGACGAUCCCUAGCUGGUCUGAGAGGAUGACCAGCCACACUGGAACUGAGACACGGUCCAGACUCCUACGGGAGGCAGCAGUGGGGAAUAUUGCACAAUGGGGGAAACCCUGAUGCAGCCAUGCCGCGUGUGUGAAGAAGGCCUUCGGGUUGUAAAGCACUUUCAGCGGGGAGGAAGGCAAUAAACUUAAUAAGUUUGUUGAUUGACGUUACCCGCAGAAGAAGCACCGGCUAACUCCGUGCCAGCAGCCGCGGUAAUACGGAGGGUGCAAGCGUUAAUCGGAAUGACUGGGCGUAAAGCGCACGCAGGCGGUCUGUUAAGUUGGAUGUGAAAUCCCCGGGCUCAACCCGGGAACAGCAUUCAAAACUGACAGGCUAGAGUCUCGUAGAGGGGGGUAGAAUUCCAGGUGUAGCGGUGAAAUGCGUAGAGAUCUGGAGGAAUACCGGUGGCGAAGGCGGCCCCCUGGACGAAGACUGACGCUCAGGUGCGAAAGCGUGGGGAGCAAACAGGAUUAGAUACCCUGGUAGUCCACGCCGUAAACGAUGUCGACUUGGAGGCUGUGGUCUUGAACCGUGGCUUCCGGAGCUAACGCGUUAAGUCGACCGCCUGGGGAGUACGGCCGCAAGGUUAAAACUCAAAUGAAUUGACGGGGGCCCGCACAAGCGGUGGAGCAUGUGGUUUAAUUCGAUGCAACGCGAAGAACCUUACCUACUCUUGACAUCCAGAGAAGACUGUAGAGAUACGGUUGUGCCUUCGGGAGCUCUGAGACAGGUGCUGCAUGGCUGUCGUCAGCUCGUGUUGUGAAAUGUUGGGUUAAGUCCCGCAACGAGCGCAACCCUUAUCCUUUGUUGCCAGCGAUACGGUCGGGAACUCAAAGGAGACUGCCGGUGAUAAACCGGAGGAAGGUGGGGAUGACGUCAAGUCAUCAUGGCCCUUACGAGUAGGGCUACACACGUGCUACAAUGGCGCAUACAAAGAGAAGCGAGCCUGCGAGGGUGAGCGGACCUCAUAAAGUGCGUCGUAGUCCGGAUUGGAGUCUGCAACUCGACUCCAUGAAGUCGGAAUCGCUAGUAAUCGUAGAUCAGAAUGCUACGGUGAAUACGUUCCCGGGCCUUGUACACACCGCCCGUCACACCAUGGGAGUGGGUUGCAAAAGAAGUAGGUAGC
RNAcentral lists this ribosomal RNA (1385 nucleotides) under Brenneria salicis. RNAcentral describes it as "bacterial SSU rRNA". It matches the Rfam family "Bacterial small subunit ribosomal RNA", at positions 59 to 1434 of the family's 1533-position model. The record is from RNAcentral. Lineage: Bacteria; Pseudomonadati; Pseudomonadota; Gammaproteobacteria; Enterobacterales; Pectobacteriaceae.